CCUACGGGAGGCAGCAGUGGGGAAUAUUGGGCAAUGGGCGCAAGCCUGACCCAGCAACGCCGCGUGAAGGAAGAAGGCUUUCGGGUUGUAAACUUCUUUUGUCAGGGACGAAGCAAGUGACGGUACCUGACGAAUAAGCCACGGCUAACUACGUGCCAGCAGCCGCGGUAAUACGUAGGUGGCAAGCGUUAUCCGGAUUUACUGGGUGUAAAGGGCGUGUAGGCGGGGAAGCAAGUCAGAUGUGAAAACCACGGGCUCAACCUGUGGCCUGCAUUUGAAACUGUUUUUCUUGAGUGCUGGGGAGGCAAUCGGAAUUCCGUGUGUAGCGGUGAAAUGCGUAGAUAGACGGAGGAACACCAGUGGCGAAGGCGGAUUGCUGGACAGUAACUGACGCUGAGGCGCGAAAGCGUGGGGAGCAAACAGGAUUAGAUACCCGAGUAGUC
This 443-nucleotide ribosomal RNA is filed under the name uncultured bacterium. Its description in RNAcentral is "partial 16S ribosomal RNA". It matches the Rfam family "Bacterial small subunit ribosomal RNA", at positions 338 to 795 of the family's 1533-position model. The record is from RNAcentral.